RNAcentral lists this transfer RNA (79 nucleotides) under Glutamicibacter protophormiae. RNAcentral describes it as "tRNA-Asn". The record is from RNAcentral. Lineage: Bacteria; Bacillati; Actinomycetota; Actinomycetes; Micrococcales; Micrococcaceae.
UCGCAUCAAGCGGGAGGACUGCGGCAGGCUGUUGCUCCGCCGGUUCGGGAGUCGCCGGUUCGGGAGCGGCUGGUGCGGG